GAUGCUAUUGUUAACAAUAUCAUGUGUCCUAUAAUUCUCACCAUCUGUAGGAUGUGUAUUUCUUAUUGCACAGAUGGCUUAUCUUGAAUUAUCCAUAAAUUUCCUUUAAAGCAAGAGAGCUGGUUUCCUAUUUUGAAUGGUAUGGCCUGAAUUUCUAAAUCCCUUCCCCAGAAAUCAUUACACGUUGGCAAAGACAUCUGGUCACUUACCUGGUAAAUAUAGGCCUCCCCACAAAGUCCACCCUGACGCAUGACCACAUAUGCCAGAUUUGCCAAAAUAGGUCCUGCAAAGCCGUGAAACAGCUGCUGAGCUGCUUGAAUCCUCCCACUUCCUUAAUGUUCUAACUUCCUUAACUUCGUCCUAUUUAUACAAAACUCAUUUUCUUCUCUGGCCUCACAGCAACCUAACUCCAUGCUUGCUUGCCUCAUUUAUUUAUAAAUGAGCAUAGUGAUUCUUUCCUCUUUUACCUGAUGUUCUCAAAUGCUUUUCCCAACCUCAAGCUUAUUCUAAUCUUUGUAGUCAUUUUCCUGCCGUGCUACUCCCAUUCCUGAUUUCUGAAUAGACCGAUGGAGAAGCCAUGGAUUCUCAGUUCUGGCUUAAGCGCUUGAGCCCAACAUGCGCCAAUAAAGAUUUUAGCCUAAGAGAAAAUCUAUUAAAGGCAAGUUUCGAUUUUCUGUGUGUUUCUUUUCUAAGAACCUAAAAGUUAAACAAAGAAGUUGUUUAUAAAGUUGUCUCAUAAAUUUACCCCCAAAGAGGACCAUUUCUAGACUUACUAUAGCGAAACAAUUUGUAUCUCAAGAGCUGGCUGCAAAUUCCCAUCUUUUGCAGGAAACCAACACAGGGAAAAUGCCCAAACCCCUCAAAAUCCAGAUUCCACGUUGUAAAGCCCCCCGUCUCCACCAUAAGAGAGGUUCGGGACCUGAAAACGGCCCCAGGGCAAAAAGUCAUACCUUGAUAAGCAAAUACAAAAUUUUCUGCGUACAUGUUUUAUUGUACAGGCAUCUUCACAAAACAUUGGAAAUAGAAUGAAAUAUGUUUGAUUGGGUAAAACCAAAAGACACAUUUGUUAUCUAGGGAUAAUGGCUAUCAGACUAACCCUGCAAGUCCCAUCAGGCAAUCAAUAUAUAUUUCUACUUUUCCUUCCUUUCAUAUUUUCAGUUUAUAGUAGCAAUAAAUACAUUGAUGCGUGAAAUUUACUGGAGUAUAAUGACCAGCUGGCAUUUGUGACCAGCAGCUGAACUGUGCAACCUCAUCCCUUCCCCACUGUCAUCAACUCAGAUAAUGUUGCGAGGCUCGGUUACUAGUCCCCAAAUGACAUUUAAUUAUCGUUCUAAUUGGAGGUCUCAUGGCUAUUCUUCUAAAUUGAGGUACGCUCAGUGAAGUCUUUGUAAAAUGAUUCGAAAUCCACUAAGCAGUUGAAGAAUAUUGUAUUCAUCCUUUUGAUUUAGCUCAGAAAUUGCUUAGCUUACAUCUCUCUUUCCCAACACUUUUCCUUCAAAAUUAGGAAAUAACUGAACUAUGUUCUUCACUGCAGAACCCAAACUGCAUCAGAAUACAAAAUCUUCUAAAAGGUAUUUUCUACAGAGAUAAUCUAGUGCACACCCAGCAUAGGCACGACGGAUGUUGCUAUUUGUUCUGAAUCCUGUCUUGGAUGCUGUCAAGGCACGAGAGUGAAGAGUCUGACAUAUGGCUAUGAAGCACAUCAAAAGAAUUGUUGGAUGUUAUGUAUUUAUUAUUGCUAAUCAGAUUAUAGCUUACUUUCUUUUCUAUUAUUCAUUUUUUCCAUUCAUUCUUUUUUAUUUUUCCCAAAACUCCUAGUACAUAGUUGCAUAUCCUAGUUGUAAGUUCUUCUAGUUCUUCCAUGUGGGACACCACCACAGCAUGGAUUGAUGAGCAGUGUGUAGGUCUGCACCCAGGAUCCGAACCAGCGAACCCCGGGCUGCCAAAGCAGAGUGCACGAACCUAACCACCAUGCCACCAGGCUGGCGCUCAUUCAUUCUUUUAAAUAACUACUUCUUAAGGGUCGUGAUGAUCAUUUUUUUCUCUAAUAGAAUUGUUCUUCUGUGAUUGUUCUGUGUUAUUCACAUUUUGUGCUCUUUUAAAUGAAAGUUUAUAAUAUAAAAAUUGACCACCAAGGGUCUUAUUUAUCAUUUCACAUUUCAGCUUCAGAAACACCAAAUUAUUUAUAUAGAAUGAUACAUUUUCAACUAUAUUUUUUUCUCUAUAAGCUCCAUGAAAAAAAAAAAGACAUUAUCUAUCUUUUUACCUAUUAAAUCCUUACCGUCUAACACAGGUCUGGCACUUAGUAAUCACUCGAAUACUUGCUGAAUGACAUUUGGCUGAAUGCAUACAGAUUUCAUAUUUUAUGACUAUAUUGGCCUGUUAUAUAUUUGUUUAUGGUGUCAUAUCAGUCAGAAUAAUCAGUGUCAGUUUUUAAAUCAUUUCUUAUUUAUAUAUUAUAUUUGUUCUAGUGUAUAUGGAUUUUAAGAUAAGUGAAGGCCAAUGUAGGAAAUAAAAUGAUUCUACACAAAAUAUCGUGAAAUAAAAAGAACCUGGUUUCCUGGGUGGGGGAUCCACACUUCAAAGAAUGGGCCUUCACAUUAAAUAAGAAUAUUUUGUAUCUGCCGACUACCUUUUACCUUAUUCUUUCCAAAACAUUCAAAGAAUUUUUUCACCACUUACUCUGAUGAUGGGCAAGUCUCGGUUUUCUCAACUUGUAAAGUGGGGCUAAUAGUUGUAUCUGUUCUACGGGGUUGUUGAAAAGAUAAAGUGAAAUCAGCCAUCCGGUUCUUUCCUCCUGGGCCAGGCACAUAGUAAGGACUCCCCACAUAGCAGCUGGCAUUGCUUCUCUCUCCCGCUCCCUGCCUCACAGCUCUCAAUUUUCUGACGUGGAGUGAUCAACGAUUGUGGGAGCAGUUUUAUAAUUCCCAGUACAUUGGAGCUACCUUCUUACUGAACGGCCUUUCUCAUUAACCAGAGAUUUAAGUCCACAUAUGAGCUCAGGAGCUAGACUGUCGACUUGAGAGUUCUUGCUUUCCUGACGGGCAGGAUAAGCCUUUUCAACCGGUCAGCCUUCAGGGUGUGCUGAGCCCACGUCCUACAAAUGGGAUCCACUUGGCUAUAAACUGAGUCUCCCGAGGAGAGCUAAAUGC
This is a long non-coding RNA of Equus caballus (horse), 3152 nucleotides long. Lineage: Eukaryota; Metazoa; Chordata; Mammalia; Perissodactyla; Equidae. The record is from Ensembl.